This 484-nucleotide ribosomal RNA is filed under the name uncultured bacterium. RNAcentral describes it as "partial 16S ribosomal RNA". It matches the Rfam family "Bacterial small subunit ribosomal RNA", at positions 30 to 507 of the family's 1533-position model. The record is from RNAcentral.
AUUGAACGCUGGCGGCAGGCCUAACACAUGCAAGUCGAGCGGAUGAAGGGAGCUUGCUCCUGGAUUCAGCGGCGGGCGGGUGAGUAAUGCCUAGGAAUCUGCCUGGUAGUGGGGGAUAACGUCCGGAAACGGGCGCUAAUACCGCAUACGUCCUGAGGGAGAAAGUGGGGGAUCUUCGGACCUCACGCUAUCAGAUGAGCCCAGGUCGGAUUAGCUAGUUGGUGGGGUAAAGGCCUACCAAGGCGACGAUCCGUAACUGGUCUGAGAGGAUGAUCAGUCACACUGGAACUGAGACACGGUCCAGACUCCUACGGGAGGCAGCAGUGGGGAAUAUUGGACAAUGGGCGAAAGCCUGAUCCAGCCAUGCCGCGUGUGUGAAGAAGGUCUUCGGAUUGUAAAGCACUUUAAGUUGGGAGGAAGGGCAGUUAGUUAAUACCUUGCUGUUUUGACGUUACCAACAGAAUAAGCACCGGCUAACUUCGUG